GGAGAAAUACCCAAGCGGCUGAAGGGGCGGGCUUGGAAAGCUCGUAGGCUCUUAACCGGGCGCGAGGGUUCAAAUCCCUCUUUCUCCGCCA
Molecule: transfer RNA, 91 nt
Filed under: Bacillota bacterium
Lineage: Bacteria; Bacillati; Bacillota
Description: tRNA-Ser
Rfam family: tRNA
About the family: Transfer RNA (tRNA) molecules are approximately 80 nucleotides in length.
Source: RNAcentral